This 465-nucleotide ribosomal RNA is filed under the name uncultured Klebsiella sp. RNAcentral describes it as "bacterial SSU rRNA". It matches the Rfam family "Bacterial small subunit ribosomal RNA", at positions 338 to 795 of the family's 1533-position model. Lineage: Bacteria; Pseudomonadati; Pseudomonadota; Gammaproteobacteria; Enterobacterales; Enterobacteriaceae. The record is from RNAcentral.
CCUACGGGUGGCAGCAGUGGGGAAUAUUGCACAAUGGGCGCAAGCCUGAUGCAGCCAUGCCGCGUGUGUGAAGAAGGCCUUCGGGUUGUAAAGCACUUUCAGCGGGGAGGAAGGCGGUGAGGUUAAUAACCUCAUCGAUUGACGUUACCCGCAGAAGAAGCACCGGCUAACUCCGUGCCAGCAGCCGCGGUAAUACGGAGGGUGCAAGCGUUAAUCGGAGUUACUGGGCGUAAAGCGCACGCAGGCGGUCUGUCAAGUCGGAUGUGAAAUCCCCGGGCUCAACCUGGGAACUGCAUUCGAAACUGGCAGGCUAGAGUCUUGUAGAGGGGGGUAGAAUUCCAGGUGUAGCGGUGAAAUGCGUAGAGAUCUGGAGGAAUACCGGUGGCGAAGGCGGCCCCCUGGACAAAGACUGACGCUCAGGUGCGAAAGCGUGGGGAGCAAACAGGAUUAGAUACCCUAGUAGUC